RNAcentral lists this ribosomal RNA (253 nucleotides) under uncultured bacterium. Its description in RNAcentral is "partial 16S ribosomal RNA". It matches the Rfam family "Bacterial small subunit ribosomal RNA", at positions 524 to 776 of the family's 1533-position model. The record is from RNAcentral.
UACGGGGGGGGCAAGCGUUGUUCGGAAUUACUGGGCGUAAAGGGCUCGUAGGCGGCCAACUAAGUCGGAUGUGAAAUCCCCAAGCUUAACUUGGGAACUGCAUCCGAUACUGGAUGGCUUGAAUCCGGGAGAGGGAUGCAGAAUUCCAGGUGUAGCGGUGAAAUGCGUAGAUAUUUGGAGGAACACCGAUGGCGAAGGCAGGUCUCUGGGCCACUACUGACGCUGAGAAGCGAAAGCAUGGGGAGCGAACAGG